This 776-nucleotide ribosomal RNA is filed under the name uncultured Neocallimastigales. RNAcentral describes it as "partial large subunit ribosomal RNA". It matches the Rfam family "Eukaryotic large subunit ribosomal RNA", at positions 26 to 644 of the family's 3401-position model. The record is from RNAcentral. Lineage: Eukaryota; Fungi; Neocallimastigomycota; Neocallimastigomycetes; Neocallimastigales.
CGCAUCUGUGCAUGCAGCAUAUCAAUAAGCGGAGGAAAAGAAACUAACAAGGAUUCCCCUAGUAACGGCGAGUGAAGCGGGAAGAGCUCAAAUUUGAAAUCUUAAAGGGUUUCCCUUUACGAAUUGUAGUUUAAAGAAGUGUUUUCUGUUGAGGUUUUGGUAAAAGUUCUUUGGAAUAGGACACCAUAGAGGGUGAGAAUCCCGUAUUUGACCUUUACUUUCAACUUUGUGAUACGCUUUCAAAGAGUCGGAUUGUUUGGGAAUGCAGUCCAAAAUGGGUGGUAAAUUUCAUCUAAAGCUAAAUAUUGGCGAGAGACCGAUAGCGAACAAGUACCGUGAGGGAAAGAUGAAAAGAACUUUGAAAAGAGAGUUAAACAGUACGUGAAAUUGUCAAAAAGGGAAGCGUUUGACACCAGUGUUGUUUUUCUGAAAAUCAAUUAAAGAACUGUUUAUGCUAAGUUGUUUAGACUUUAUCAGCUAUCUGCUUAGUUUUGAGCUUUUCUUUAAUGCACUUUUCAGUUAACAAGUCAACAUCAAUUUCUUUUGCUGUAAAAAAGCUUGAGGAAGGUGGCUUGAGAUUCGUCCUUAAGUGUUUAUAGCCUCUUGCCUAUGCAGUCGGAGAGAUUGAGGUCUGCAGCGUAGAUCCUUCGGGGCUAAAUGCAUUUGUGCUAAGUUAUAGCAUUUUAUAGACGACUUGUUGACUAUGAUUUGUCUUGUAGCUUACUCGCUUAUGUUAUUUUACCUACGCUUAGGAUGUUGAAUCUGUGCGAGACUAC